This 417-nucleotide long non-coding RNA is filed under the name Helianthus annuus (common sunflower). Its description in RNAcentral is "hypothetical non coding rna". The record is from RNAcentral. Lineage: Eukaryota; Viridiplantae; Streptophyta; Magnoliopsida; Asterales; Asteraceae.
UUCUCAUUUUUCAAUUAUUUCUCUCACGUUAUCAGCACGAGAAUUCUCCACUGGGAUUAACCAGCAAUCCUGCAACCACACAACGGAUUCAUCAACAUCUUUAGAUUCCGAACAUCUUCGUUCCUCAUAAUCCGGUGGUAUUUUAUGUUUUGAACUAUCGUUAUGCCUCUAACUCUAUCCGGGAGGAAACUGGCGACAAACUCGAAAGAUUAGGGAGCAAACUGGCGACAAACUCGAAAGAUCAGGGAGGAAAAUGGCUAUUUUUAAACUAUUGGAGCAAAACCGUUAAAAUGACCAAACCAUAGGGAGCAAAACGGAAGUUUACUCAAAAAGUUAUUUGUAAAUGGCCUAUAUUGGAAUUGGUAUGUCUAAUUACAAUUUAAAAAAAAAGUAACAUAUGUAUAUGUAUCGGAAUUU